This 260-nucleotide long non-coding RNA is filed under the name Elaeis guineensis (African oil palm). Its description in RNAcentral is "long non-coding RNA (EGUI_LNC036200)". Lineage: Eukaryota; Viridiplantae; Streptophyta; Magnoliopsida; Arecales; Arecaceae. The record is from RNAcentral.
AUACCAGUUGACUAUGCUUAUUUGGGUCAUCUCGGUCGUGAACCCUUAUUUGGAUCAACUUCUUAAACCACUUCUAGUCCUCAAGAAAUAGGUUCUUCUAGUUCUCAAGCAAAAUCCUCUUAGGAAAUAGACUUUUAUUGUUGCCAUAGGAUUCUUGGCAUUACAAAUAAUAUCCUCUAUGAUUUUUAUCUUCCCACCAAGAUAGUUAAGGGACUGUUGGAUGUCUCAAAGGCUGAAUAUAGAAUGGAUGAUAACGGUCU